CUGAAGGACAAGUAGAUAAACAGGUUCAUGUGAAGCCCUGUAUGUUGUUGUUUUUUUUCUUUCAAAAGUCUCAUGGAAUGUCGGCCGACAUUGAACAGCACACAUUGGCUGCUACUGUAGGCUGAAUGACAGAACAGCUGUUUACAUGUUGAAGUGUUAUUGGAUGCAUUUUCUCUAUUGUUGUUGAUGGUAGACCCCUCUGGUAGGCCACUCUGGUAGGCCACUCUGGUAGGCCACUCUGGUAGGCCACUCUGGUAGGCCACUCUGGUAGGCCACUCUGGUAGGCCACUCUGGUAGGCCUACAUUAUGAUCACAUAGCCAUAGUAGCCUACUUGACCACUGUUAAAACUAGAGGUCGACCGAUUAAUCGACAUGGCCGAUUUAAUUAGGGCAGAUUUCAAGUUUUCAUAACAAUCGGUAAUUGGCAUUUUUGGACGCCAAUUAUGGCCGAUUACAUUGCACUCCAUGAGGAGACUGAGUGGCAGGCUGAC
Oncorhynchus tshawytscha (Chinook salmon) is the source of this 491-nucleotide long non-coding RNA. The record is from Ensembl. Lineage: Eukaryota; Metazoa; Chordata; Actinopteri; Salmoniformes; Salmonidae.